Molecule: transfer RNA, 69 nt
Filed under: Actinomycetota bacterium
Lineage: Bacteria; Bacillati; Actinomycetota
Description: tRNA-Ala
Rfam family: tRNA
About the family: Transfer RNA (tRNA) molecules are approximately 80 nucleotides in length.
Source: RNAcentral
AUUGCGGCGUCCUUCAACCGGCACCGCCCUGGCAAGGCGGUAGCACGGGUUCGAAUCCCGUUGGGGCCA